GCUCGGGUGGUGAAAUUGGCAGACACGCAUGCUUGAGGUGCAUGUGGGUAACUCCUUGCGGGUUCGAGUCCCGCCCCGAGCACCA
This 85-nucleotide transfer RNA is filed under the name Kiritimatiellia bacterium. RNAcentral describes it as "Kiritimatiellae bacterium (gut metagenome) tRNA-Leu". It matches the Rfam family "tRNA". Rfam says of the family: Transfer RNA (tRNA) molecules are approximately 80 nucleotides in length. Their secondary structure includes four short double-helical elements and three loops (D, anti-codon, and T loops). Further hydrogen bonds mediate the characteristic L-shaped molecular structure. tRNAs have two regions of fundamental functional importance: the anti-codon, which is responsible for specific mRNA codon recognition, and the 3' end, to which the tRNAs corresponding amino acid is attached (by aminoacyl-tRNA synthetases). tRNAs cope with the degeneracy of the genetic code in two manners: having more than one tRNA (with a specific anti-codon) for a particular amino acid; and 'wobble' base-pairing, i.e. permitting non-standard base-pairing at the 3rd anti-codon position. Lineage: Bacteria; Pseudomonadati; Kiritimatiellota; Kiritimatiellia. RNAcentral also lists the same sequence under 1 other name. The record is from RNAcentral.